Molecule: long non-coding RNA, 748 nt
Filed under: Nicotiana benthamiana
Lineage: Eukaryota; Viridiplantae; Streptophyta; Magnoliopsida; Solanales; Solanaceae
Description: long non-coding RNA (NBEN_LNC009169)
Source: RNAcentral
UAAAUUGUUAGGGGUGUGCCAGCCUCACUCCAUAUGCUAGGCAUGACCACCUCAUACAAUGGUCUUCCUCUAAUAUACCACCUUUGCACUUAUUCUUAGUGCUUUAAGUCCUACUUCCCCCUUAGUAAGCCAUGCUUAAGGGACCCCAUAGUCUCCUCUGAACUUGGAUGCUUUGGGGAUAGUUCCACACUUGCACUACUCUAAAGAGAAAGCUUCGGUUCGGGAGCCUGGAUUUGGCAAAGGGCAUACGUUGGACAUUAAAGUUGCUUUGCGCUCCUUCGGGCCUGUUGUAGUGUUGAUGUGUUAUUUAUUUCUGUUAAUGUUAUUUUUUGGUCCAAAUUAUUGUAAGUAACUUUUAAUAAAAGAACUUGGGGAUCUAGUGAAAGGGAAUACAUGAGAGAUUUACCUUUCUUGCGUUAUCUCAUAUAGUUACCAUGGCUAUAGGGUUUUACUUUUUGCAUCAUCUCAUGUAGAUACCAUGCUUAUAGGCUUUUACUUUUUGCAUCAAUAUCAUAUAGUUACCAUGUCUAUAAGGGUUUACAUUCUAGCAUCUUAUAUAGAUGUCAUGUCAAUAGGCUUUUCGUUAUUGCAUCAACUUCAUAAUAGAAAUCAUAUCUGUAGGUCUGCAUUCUUACAACCUCAUAUAGAAACCAUGCUUAUAGGUUUGCACUCUCAUAAUCUCGCCUAGAAAACAUGCGUAUCGGAACCAUAUAAACGUUAGAAAAAAUAGUAGGUCGUCCAAACUUGU